GACGAACGCUGGCGGCGUGCUUAACACAUGCAAGUCGAGCGGUAAGGCCCUUUCGGGGGUACACGAGCGGCGAACGGGUGAGUAACACGUGGGUGACCUGCCCUCAGCUCUGGGAUAAGCCUGGGAAACCGGGUCUAAUACUGGAUAUGACUCCAUGACGCAUGUUGUGGGGUGGAAAGCCUUGUGCGGCUGAGGAUGGGCCCGCGGCCUAUCAGCUUGUUGGUGGGGUGANGGCCUACCAAGGCGACGACGGGUAGCCGGCCUGAGAGGGCGACCGGCCACACUGGGACUGAGACACGGCCCAGACUCCUACGGGAGGCAGCAGUGGGGAAUCUUGCGCAAUGGGCGAAAGCCUGACGCAGCGACGCCGCGUGAGGGAUGACGGCCUGGUGUAACUACUUCUA
Molecule: ribosomal RNA, 404 nt
Filed under: uncultured bacterium
Lineage: Bacteria
Description: bacterial SSU rRNA
Rfam family: Bacterial small subunit ribosomal RNA
Source: RNAcentral